UACGUAGGUGGCAAGCGUUAUCCGGAUUUAUUGGGCGUAAAGGGAACGCAGGCGGUCUUUUAAGUCUGAUGUGAAAGCCUUCGGCUUAACCGGAGUAGUGCAUUGGAAACUGGGAGACUUGAGUGCAGAAGAGGAGAGUGGAAUUCCUAGUGUAGCGGUGAAAUGCGUAGAUAUUAGGAGGAACACCAGUGGCGAAGGCGGCCUGCUGGGCUUUAACUGACGCUGAGGCUCGAAAGCGUGGGUAGCAAACAGG
RNAcentral lists this ribosomal RNA (253 nucleotides) under uncultured Lactobacillus sp. Its description in RNAcentral is "partial 16S ribosomal RNA". It matches the Rfam family "Bacterial small subunit ribosomal RNA", at positions 524 to 776 of the family's 1533-position model. The record is from RNAcentral. Lineage: Bacteria; Bacillati; Bacillota; Bacilli; Lactobacillales; Lactobacillaceae.